Molecule: ribosomal RNA, 486 nt
Filed under: uncultured bacterium
Lineage: Bacteria
Description: partial 16S ribosomal RNA
Rfam family: Bacterial small subunit ribosomal RNA
Source: RNAcentral
AUUGAACGCUGGCGGCAUGCCUUACACAUGCAAGUCGAACGGCAGCACGGGUGCUUGCACCUGGUGGCGAGUGGCGAACGGGUGAGUAAUACAUCGGAACAUGUCCUGUAGUGGGGGAUAGCCCGGCGAAAGCCGGAUUAAUACCGCAUACGAUCUACGGAUGAAAGCGGGGGACCUUCGGGCCUCGCGCUAUAGGCUUGGCCGCUGCCUGAUUAGCUAGUUGUGGGGUUAAAGGCCUACCAAGGCGACGAUCAGUAGCUGGUCUGAGAGGACGACCAGCCAAACUGGGACUGAGACACGGCCCAGACUCCUACGGGAGGCAGCAGUGGGGAAUUUUGGACAAUGGGCGAAAGCCUGAUCCAGCAAUGCCGCGUGUGUGAAGAAGGCCUUCGGGUUGUAAAGCACUUUUGUCCGGAAAGAAAUCCUUGGCCCUAAUACGGUCGGGGGAUGACGGUACCGGAAGAAUAAGCACCGGCUAACUACGUG